CUUAAUGAAUAUAAUUAUAUAUUAAGUCUAACCUGCUCAAUGAUUUAUUUAAAUAGCCGCAGUAUUCUGACUGUGCGAAGGUAGCAUAAUCAUUUGUCUUUUAAUUGAAGGCUUGUAUGAAUGGUUUGAUGAAAGAAUUACUUUCUUUAUGUUAAUUGAUUAAAUUUAAUUUUUAAGUUAAAAAGCUUAAAUGUUUAAAUGGGACGAGAAGACCCUAUAGAAUUUUAUUAUUAUUAUCAAUAUUAUAAUUUUAGCUAUUAUCAAUAUAUAUUAAAGGUUAUAAUAAUUUUGUUGGGGUGAUAGGAAGAUUUAAUUAACUCUUUUAUUUUUUAUUUAUUAAUUAAUAUAUAUUUGAUCCUUUUUUUAGAGAUUAUUAGAUUAAAUUACCUUAGGGAUAACAGCGUAAUUUCUUUGGAGAGUUCCCACCGAUAAGGAAGUUCGCGACCC
Molecule: ribosomal RNA, 447 nt
Filed under: Chlorocoris rufispinus
Lineage: Eukaryota; Metazoa; Arthropoda; Insecta; Hemiptera; Pentatomidae
Description: partial large subunit ribosomal RNA
Source: RNAcentral